RNAcentral lists this ribosomal RNA (468 nucleotides) under uncultured bacterium. RNAcentral's name for it is "partial 16S ribosomal RNA". It matches the Rfam family "Bacterial small subunit ribosomal RNA", at positions 28 to 507 of the family's 1533-position model. The record is from RNAcentral.
GACGAACGCUGGCGGCGUGCUUAACACAUGCAAGUCGAACGGAAAGGCCCUGCUUUUGUGUGGUGCUCGAGUGGCGAACGGGUGAGUAACACGUGAGUAACCUUCCCUUGACUUUGGGAUAACUGCAGGAAACUGGGGCUAAUACCGGAUAGGAGCUCCUGCUGCAUGGUGGGGGUUGGAAAGUUUCGGCGGUUGGGGAUGGACUCGCGGCUUAUCAGCUUGUUGGUGGGGUAGUGGCUUACCAAGGCUUUGACGGGUAGCCGGCCUGAGAGGGUGACCGGCCACAUUGGGACUGAGAUACGGCCCAGACUCCUACGGGAGGCAGCGGUGGGAAAUAUUGCACAAUGGGCGGAAGCCUGAUGCAGCAACGCCGCGUGCGGGAUGACGGCCUUCGGGUUGUAAACCGCUUUCGCCUGUGACGAAGCGUGAGUGACGGUAAUGGGUAAAGAAGCACCGGCUAACUACGUG